UACAGAGGUCCCAAGCGUUGUUCGGAUUCACUGGGCGUAAAGGGUGCGUAGGUGGUCGGGUAAGUCUGAUGUGAAAGCUCUGGGCUCAACCCAGAAAUGGCAUUGGAUACUAUCUGGCUAGAGGAAUGGAGGGGGGACUGGAAUACUUGGUGUAGCAGUGAAAUGCGUAGAUAUCAAGUGGAACACCAGUGGCGAAGGCGAGUCCCUGGACAUUUCCUGACGCUCAGGCACGAAAGCGUGGGGAGCAAACAGG
This 253-nucleotide ribosomal RNA is filed under the name uncultured bacterium. RNAcentral describes it as "partial 16S ribosomal RNA". It matches the Rfam family "Bacterial small subunit ribosomal RNA", at positions 524 to 776 of the family's 1533-position model. The record is from RNAcentral.